AAUGGGCGAAAGCCUGACGCAGCCAUGCCGCGUGUGUGAAGAAGGCCUUCGGGUUGUAAAGCACUUUCAAUUGGGAAGAAAGGUUGCGUGUUAAUAGCACGUAGCUGUGACGUUACCUUUAGAAGAAGCACCGGCUAACUCCGUGCCAGCAGCCGCGGUAAUACGGAGGGUGCGAGCGUUAAUCGGAAUUACUGGGCGUAAAGCGCGCGUAGGCGGUUUGCUAAGUCGGAUGUGAAAUCCCCGGGCUCAACCUGGGAAUGGCAUUCGAUACUGGCCGACUAGAGUACGAGAGAGGGAGGUAGAAUUCCACGUGUAGCGGUGAAAUGCGUAGAUAUGUGGAGGAAUACCGGUGGCGAAGGCGGCCUCCUGGCUCGAUACUGACGCUCAGGUGCGAAAGCGUGGGUAGCAAA
This 410-nucleotide ribosomal RNA is filed under the name uncultured bacterium. RNAcentral's name for it is "bacterial SSU rRNA". It matches the Rfam family "Bacterial small subunit ribosomal RNA", at positions 370 to 772 of the family's 1533-position model. The record is from RNAcentral.